RNAcentral lists this ribosomal RNA (1680 nucleotides) under Triticum aestivum (bread wheat). RNAcentral's name for it is "partial small subunit ribosomal RNA". Lineage: Eukaryota; Viridiplantae; Streptophyta; Magnoliopsida; Poales; Poaceae. The record is from RNAcentral.
AUGUACCUGAGCCCAUGUAACCUCUCGGCUGAGCCGUCGGAGAACCCCGUCGCUCUGCCGGAGUCGAUCCACCACGCUGUCUGCGAUGAGGAGGAAGGUAUCCAGGGGAUAGAGGAGGGGAGGAGGGAAGAGGAAGAGAUGGAGGAGAAUGUGAUGGAGGAGAUCGGGAAGGUGGGGAAGCGUAAGCGGAAGGAGGAGAAGGGGAAGAAGGAGAAGAAAAGGCACAAGGGCAAGGCAGGCGGGAUUCUGACAAACAAGCUCUUCUCAGAGCUCGCCAUCUCUGAGCUCACUGCCAAGGCCGUCAGAGAGAUGAACUACACCCACCUCACCCAGAUUCAAGCCAGAUCAAUACCGCACCUGGUGCUAGGGAGCGAUGUGCUGGGCUCAGCCAGGAUUGGCUCAGGGAAGACGCUUGCUUUCCUUAUACCCGCGGUCGAACUGCUACACAAGGCGCGCUUCGCACCGAGGAAUGGUACCGGAGUUGUUGUGGUUUGCCCGACAAGGGAGCUCGCUAUGCAGACGCACAAUGUCGCCAAGGAGCUAAUGAAGUAUCACUCGCAAACUCUUGGAUAUGUGAUUGGUGGCACUAACAUGAGAAGCGAGGCCAACCAGCUCGUCGAAGGGGUCAAUCUGUUAGUCGCGACGCCGGGUAGGCUUUUGGACCAUCUAAGAAGUACCAGUGGUUUCAAUUACAAAGGGCUACAAUGCCUUAUAAUCGAUGAAGCUGAUCGCAUACUUGAGCAGAAUUUUGAGGAGGACAUGAAACAAAUAUUCAAACGCCUCCCUCGGGACAGGCAAACUGUUCUCUUUUCUGCCACACAGACUAAAAGGGUUGAAGAUUUUGCAAAUCUUACGUUUGGGAAAAAUGAGGAAAGGCAACGAAAGCUUGUUUAUGUUGGAGUUGAUGAUUCUGAAUUUAAGCCUACCGUUGAGGGCUUGCAGCAGGGCUACUGUGUCAUCCCAAGCGAGGAAAGGUUUCUGGUCCUGUAUGCUUUCCUGAGAAAGAUGCAGCUGAAGCAGAAGGUGAAGGUCAUGGUGUUCUUUUCAUCGUGUAGCUCAGUCAAAUUCCACGCAGAAUUGCUGAAUUUCCUUGGGAUAGAGUCAGAAACGCACCACUACAUUCUUCCGAUUUCCAAGGAGGAAAAGGGCAUCUUGUUAUGCACUAACGUGGCAGCACGUGGGCUUGAUAUUCCUGAUGUGGACUACAUUGUGCAAUUCGAUCCUCCAGAUGACCCAAAGGACUACAUUCACAGAGUCGGUCGUACUGCCCGAGGUGAUAAAGGCAAAGGACGUGCAUUGUUGUUCUUACUACCAGAAGAAAUGAAGUUGCUCAUUUACCUACGGGCUGGAAAACAUGUGCCAAAACUGCAACCUCAACUUGAGAAGAUUGUUGCUGAGAAUUACUUCCUAAAGCAGUCAGCGAAGGAAGCAUACAGGUCCUACCUUUUGGCAUACAACUCACACUCUAUGAAGGACAUUUUUGGUGUCCAUCAACUUGAUCUCAAGAAAGUUGCGGCAUCUUUCUGUUUUAGUAGCCCUCCUAAAGUGAAUCUGAACCUGGAGAGUAGUGCAUCGAAACACCGAAAGAUGAAGAAAGUGGACGGUGGAAAGAGGCAUGGAAUUAGCCCUUCAAACCGAAGGAGAGGCGGCGAUGAUCGAAGGCAGUUUGCAAGAUUCUAG